Molecule: long non-coding RNA, 3348 nt
Filed under: Gallus gallus (chicken)
Lineage: Eukaryota; Metazoa; Chordata; Aves; Galliformes; Phasianidae
Description: lncRNA (ENSGALG00010026798.1)
Source: RNAcentral
GGCCAGCUAGUUUUAUUUACUUUGUAGUCAUGUGUGCACGUACACAAGUGGAGUUGCAGCAGACUGCGUGGCCCUCCCCUCUGCCUGGGCGCUCUUCUCUAACAAAGGAGGGCAGUCCAAAGGCCACUGAAGAAGUCCACGAAUCUUCCUCAUUGCCUGCAGUAAGCUUUGGAUCAGGCCCCAGUGAGCCAGCAAGAACGUGCCGUUCAGCGUGCUAUAACAAGUCCACCGGCAUGUGCUGAUAGCUGCAGGAGAGCUGUUAGAAGUACACCCCUAAAAAUGAGGAAGAUCUUGGCUGAGGAGGCAGCAGCUUCUGGCCCAGCCCUCACCCCCCACACAACGCGUGAAACACACCGGAGCCUCUUAAAUUAGGGAACAGAGCAGCCCUGCACCCAUUCUUUCCUCCAUGCGAUAUCACAGGAAAGCUGGAGAGUAUUGUAUUACUCUUAAUACACUUUGUGAUCGUGUAAGUCUCCCAAAUCCCACUGCCAGUAAGCUCUGGUGAUUAAACAGCUUACUGAAGGGAAACCAUAGCUAAUACUUUCUACCCUUAUCAAAGUGUAUUGCUAAUGAGGACUGGGAAAACUCUCAGUGUUAAUACAACAUCUGUAGAUUAACAUUAGCUUACUCGUGCUUUCACAGUCAAUGGCUAAAAUUCAGUCAAUCACUUGGAUUCACGUCACACUUCUAAUUGGUGUUACGGUACAUCAGUCUCAGUAUUUCCCCAGCAGAAGUACACCGGGAGUGGAAAAGGCAACAUCAAGAGCUGGAGGCCAAAGAAGAAAUUUGCAACAAGUUGCUUGGACAUCAUGAUUUAGGAACCUUACAGGAGGUCUGGGAACAGAGGUUCGGGGCUCCUAAUCAUAGAAUCAUGGAAUCAUUACGUUUGGAAAGACCACUAAGAUCACCUAGUCCAACCCUCAGCUCAUCCCCACCAUGCCCGCUGAGCCCCAUUGCAUCAUGCAGUGCAACACCUAUUCUUUUCUUGAAAACCUCCAAGGACUGUGACCCCACCACCUCCUUGGGCAGCCCGUUCCUUCUUCCUUAUGGAAAAUGGAAAAACAGAAAUCAAUGAAGGACGUGACAGAAAAGGAUAAGCAGCAUGCAUCUGAUGAUGAGAAGGAGGGAAGCAUGGUAGGGCGAGAGACAAAGUGCAGCUGGCACAUUAAAAAGCAAUCAGAGGAAAAGAAACCAGUAGUUCAACUGAACAACCACCAGUGUCUUUAAUUCUAUCUAGUUUUACUGUGGGUGCAUGCUGUGCAACACUGCUUUGAAAUCUCUGAGAAACAGAUGUAGUUAACAACUCUUCCGCAGUGUAGAAGGGAAGAAAUUCUGUACUAAUUGACAAAGGAGUAAGAAGAUUCUUUUUAAAGAAGGGAGAAUAGUUUCAGUGUGCCCUCCAGGACACUAUAGGAUGGUCUCAGAUUCAAGUACAAACUCAUCUGCUACAUGGAAGCCUUGAACUCCACAAAGAUAAAUCCGUCACACAUCAGUAAAUGCAGAAAUGACAGAGAGAGCAAGACAUCCCUUAGCAACCCAACUGCUUUCCAUGCCUGGAAGACUGGCUCCUGUCAGCACAAGUAACAUAGAUGACCCAGAGCAUGUUCUCUCACCAACACAAGUAAGCUGCAUACCAAAAAGUCUGCCCUUCCCAGAAGCAUCUCUGUAAAGAGAAUGGAUGUGAACACAGACUCUGCGAGCCUAUGCCAUCUUCUGUCCCAGAUAACUCCAGAAUACUCCCAGCUCUGCAGAGCAGAGUUUUCUUGAAAGAAAUUGGGAAAAGAACCGAGACUGCCAGAGGAUGGAAACCAAAUUAAUUUCUGAAGAAACAGGUUCAUCUCUUACUGGCAUCUGCAGAGUUGCGUCAGCUUGUUGCGGAUAUGGAUUAGGCCUUGUGCUUCUGAGAAUCCAGCUUUGUUUCAAUUCUUCUGAGCACUUCCUUCUUUCCUUCUGACUGCACUUCAGUUUUGAUCCAAGUAUCAAAGAGGCUCAUGCAGCAGCUAACUUGCACCAAACACAGCAUAAAUUUCUACUGACGGCUUACCUAGAUGACGUGCAGCUCAAUGGAGACCAAAAAGGGUAAGGUCUCAGCCUCUUCCCUUACUGCAGUAACAAAGCACCUGGGGGUGCUCACUUUUUUUCUGUCUCGUAAACUGGUUGCCAUGGCAAGUUACUUGUGUUGCACUGUCAGGUAGUAAAAGGAAACAAUUUGCAUCCUCUAGAAAACUCAGAAUUUUAGAACUCUGUCGCCUAUCAGUUUGCUUUCUGCCUUGACACUGCUUAUCCCUGAAGCUCGGCGAGAGAUGAGCAAGAACAACAUCCCAGCAACAGAAGUACCUGAAGGUUUAUUGAGCCUGGUGUGUCUGCAGAAGGAAUAAAUUAAGUAAUCAUGAAGAAUAUGGUGCUGUGGGAAAGCACGUCAGAAUCCCUGCUUUUCUCAGCGUGCUCUCAGAGAUAAUGAUAUGGAGAGCACACACACUGAUACAAUCUUCCUUCUGAACACUUCAAGAAAGUUUCAAUUACAGAGAGAAGGAAAACACAUCCAGCAAAACAGACCAACAGACUAUCUGAAUGUAGAGACGGCACAAAAGGCACAGAAGGAACCAGGAAGUACUCAGCAUAAUUAGGACGAGGCUGGGUGAGAUUGUGGAUAUGGCAAAGGAACAGAAGACGCAGGAAAACAACAAAAGGAACCUGACACCACUCAUCUACCCUCUGCCUACUGAGAACUUAUACCCUUCAGCUGGCCUUCGUGCAGACUUUCUUUGCUGAGAGCAAAAUUGGGAUGUAUUCAGAUAUCCCCGUGAAGCUACAAAAGUGCAGUUGUUUGCCUUGCUGGUGAUACCGAUGAUCACAAGAAGUUUCCAUGGGUUUUUUUUUGUUUUGUUUUUUUUUACAGGGCAAAAGAGAGUUGAGUUCAAGCUGGCAAUGACGUGGGUGAUCCUACUAGAGAAACCUCGAAAAAAGAUCAACAUCUCAAAACUUCUGGAGAUAGCCUUGACCUGAUGAGUGAGUUCAGUUGUUAACUAAGUUGGUGGCCUAAGUUUCAAUGUUACAAACUUGUGUUUGUAUGUUUUCACGUCACACUAACCUCCUUCUUGCAGAGGCUGAAGAGGAAAUGACAACAUCAAGGAAUUAUUUUUUGGGGGUCACAGCACUUACAGAAAUCAGUAACAUAUCUUUCCAGGGCUAAAUUUAGACUGCUGUUUUAAAACGUCACAUGAUUAUCGAUGGGAGAAGGAAGUCCGUGAGUUAUGGCCUCCUACAUGCAUGCUACAGUUUGGUGAAGAUGAUGAGUUAAAACUGAAGGCACUGGAAUGACAGAGCAGCCCUUCAACCCCACUGCAG